Molecule: ribosomal RNA, 477 nt
Filed under: uncultured organism
Description: partial 16S ribosomal RNA
Rfam family: Bacterial small subunit ribosomal RNA
Source: RNAcentral
ACGUACACUCCUACGGGAGGCAGCAGUGGGGAAUUUUGGACAAUGGGCGAAAGCCUGAUCCAGCCAUGCCGCGUGCAGGAUGAAGGCCUUCGGGUUGUAAACUGCUUUUGUACGGAACGAAACGGCCUUUUCUAAUAAAGAGGGCUAAUGACGGUACCGUAAGAAUAAGCACCGGCUAACUACGUGCCAGCAGCCGCGGUAAUACGUAGGGUGCAAGCGUUAAUCGGAAUUACUGGGCGUAAAGCGUGCGCAGGCGGUUAUGUAAGACAGUUGUGAAAUCCCCGGGCUCAACCUGGGAACUGCAUCUGUGACUGCAUAGCUAGAGUACGGUAGAGGGGGAUGGAAUUCCGCGUGUAGCAGUGAAAUGCGUAGAUAUGCGGAGGAACACCGAUGGCGAAGGCAAUCCCCUGGACCUGUACUGACGCUCAUGCACGAAAGCGUGGGGAGCAAACAGGAUUAGAAACCCUUGUAGUCCCA